UGGGGAAUUUUGGACAAUGGGCGAAAGCCUGAUCCAGCCAUGCCGCGUGCAGGAUGAAGGCCUUCGGGUUGUAAACUGCUUUUGUACGGAACGAAAAGCCUCUUUCUAAUAAAGAGGGGUCAUGACGGUACCGUAAGAAUAAGCACCGGCUAACUACGUGCCAGCAGCCGCGGUAAUACGUAGGGUGCAAGCGUUAAUCGGAAUUACUGGGCGUAAAGCGUGCGCAGGCGGUUUUGUAAGACAGAGGUGAAAUCCCCGGGCUCAACCUGGGAACUGCCUUUGUGACUGCAAGGCUGGAGUGCGGCAGAGGGGGAUGGAAUUCCGCGUGUAGCAGUGAAAUGCGUAGAUAUGCGGAGGAACACCGAUGGCGAAGGCAAUCCCCUGGGCCUGCACUGACGCUCAUGCACGAAAGCGUGGGGAGCAAACAGGAUUAGAUACCCUGGUAGUCCACGCCCUAAACGAUGUCAACUGGUUGUUGGGGUCUUCACUGACUCAGUAACGAAGCUAACGCGUGAAGUUGACCGCCUGGGGAGUACGGCCGCAAGGUUGAAACUUAAAUGAAUUGACGGGGUCAUAGCUGUUUCCU
RNAcentral lists this ribosomal RNA (586 nucleotides) under uncultured bacterium. Its description in RNAcentral is "partial 16S ribosomal RNA". It matches the Rfam family "Bacterial small subunit ribosomal RNA", at positions 355 to 1375 of the family's 1533-position model. The record is from RNAcentral.